Long non-coding RNA from Daphnia pulicaria, 995 nucleotides. RefSeq lists it as uncharacterized. NCBI's taxonomy places the organism in Eukaryota, Metazoa, Arthropoda, Branchiopoda, Diplostraca, Daphniidae. The transcript has 3 exons. The record is from RefSeq and is a predicted model, not a curated record.
UCCGCUCAUUUUUCGCCGAAAAGGUCGAGGGAAAAGAAUUAACAUUUCUAUUUUUUUAAGCCCCACAUUGAAACAGGUGCUGUUUUAAGAAAAUACCUCCAUGAAACCCAAGGCUAAAUUAAAUAUUGAGUUAUUGCAACCCAGAUGACGUUCAAUUCUUGCAUUACGCUUCACCAUAGGAUAGAAAGGCCGAUCUCGUUUUUCUCUGGUUUUCAAUGGCGGGCCAUGUAGUUCGCCAUACUUCCGCUGGGAGGAUUGUUUGGAAGUUUGACGUGUUUUGACUUUUGUAUUUCUUUGUCGGUAAAACCAAUAAAUCAUCGUUUUUUUUUAUAAACAAUAACUACGAUAGCGAUUGCUUAUUAAGGUUACACUUAACUUGCGAUAGUAUAAGUAUAUAAUCUCUUGGUAAUUUUCAUUGUUAGAUUUAACACACAAAGGUUUGGAACUUAAAGGUUCUUGCUUGUGCAUUCUUGUUGUGUAAAACUCUGAGACUGAUUGAGACUGACUGAGAGACUGUAGACACUAAGUGUAUUUUCAUUAAAAUAUUUUCAUUAAAAUAAAUGUAAGUUGAUUACUUUUGUGGUUGAGGCUGUAGAUCUCGCAGAAGGAGUCAGCAUUCCCAAUAAAAAAAAUGGAAAUUUUUACAAGAGAUGAAUUCACAGAUGAGUUGUAGAGAGUGAGUUCACAUUUGAGCAGUCAGGUCCAAAUGAGAUUUUCACUUUGGUCUCCAUCAGAAUGAGACCCUUGAAAAUGCUUCAGCAAAUUAUGCCAAUCUGGAACAAUUAGUAAAAUUUUCUAGAGUUUGUUUUAUAACUUUACUGGAUACUGAUUCUUUACUUUCUUACAUUAUUAAACGUUACAUAUUUGAUGAAUCUCGAUUGCCAUCACCGAUACAAUCUCGUCAAACAAAAGAGAUGGAAUUCACACGCAGUUUGAUGAAUAUGAAUUUAUAUGCUAUAAUGAACGGUAAAUAAAAGGUAUUGGUUCAAUACGAA